GAUGAAGAACGUAGUGAAAUGCGAUAAGUAAUGCGAAUUGCAGAAUUUCCGUGAGUCAUCGAAUCUUUGAACGCACAUUGCGCCCACUGGUAUUCCGGUGGGCAUGCCUGUUCGAGCGUCAUUAUAACCCCUCAAGCUCAGCUUGGUGUUGGGGCCUGCUGCACUGGCAGCCCUUAAAAUCAGUGGCGGCGCCAUCUGGCUCUAAGCGUAGUAAUUCUUCUCGCUAUGGAGUCCUGGUGGAUGCUUGCCAUCAACCCCCAAUUUUUCUAUGGUUGACCUCGGAUCAGGUAGGGAUACCCGCUGAACUUAAGCAUAUCAUAAGCGGAGGA
This 329-nucleotide unclassified non-coding RNA is filed under the name soil metagenome. RNAcentral describes it as "partial contains 5.8S ribosomal RNA, internal transcribed spacer 2, and large subunit ribosomal RNA". The stretch from base 1 to 121 matches the Rfam family "5.8S ribosomal RNA", at positions 35 to 154 of the family's 154-position model. The record is from RNAcentral.